GCCCGGGUGGUGAAAUCGGUAGACACAGGAGACUUAAAAUCUCUCGCCGAAAGGUGUACGGGUUCGAGUCCCGUCCCGGGCA
RNAcentral lists this transfer RNA (82 nucleotides) under Azonexus fungiphilus. Its description in RNAcentral is "tRNA-Leu". It matches the Rfam family "tRNA". Rfam says of the family: Transfer RNA (tRNA) molecules are approximately 80 nucleotides in length. Their secondary structure includes four short double-helical elements and three loops (D, anti-codon, and T loops). Lineage: Bacteria; Pseudomonadati; Pseudomonadota; Betaproteobacteria; Rhodocyclales; Azonexaceae. The record is from RNAcentral.